This 489-nucleotide ribosomal RNA is filed under the name uncultured bacterium. Its description in RNAcentral is "bacterial SSU rRNA". It matches the Rfam family "Bacterial small subunit ribosomal RNA", at positions 29 to 508 of the family's 1533-position model. The record is from RNAcentral.
AACGAACGCUGGCGGCGCGCCUAACACAUGCAAGUCGAACGGAGUGAAGGAGCUUGCUCUUUCAUUUAGUGGCGCACGGGUGAGUAACGCGUAGAUAAUCUGCCUUAGACUCUGGGAUAACAUCUCGAAAGGGGUGCUAAUACCGGAUAAGCCCACGAUGGCGUAAGUCAUUGCGGGAAAAGGGGGCCCCUGAAUAUGCUCCUGAUCUAAGAUGAGUCUGCGUACCAUUAGCUAGUUGGUAGGGUAAGAGCCUACCAAGGCGACGAUGGUUAGCCGGUCUGAGAGGAUGAUCAGCCACACUGGCACUGAGAUACGGGCCAGACUCCUACGGGAGGCAGCAGUGAGGAUAUUGCGCAAUGGGCGAAAGCCUGACGCAGCGACGCCGCGUGGGGGAUGAAGUUUUCGGAUUGUAAACCCUUUCAUGAGGAAAGAUAAAGUGGGUAACCACUUAGACGGUACCUCAAGAAGAAGCCACGGCUAACUUCGUCG